Long non-coding RNA from Erigeron canadensis, 500 nucleotides. RefSeq lists it as uncharacterized. NCBI's taxonomy places the organism in Eukaryota, Viridiplantae, Streptophyta, Magnoliopsida, Asterales, Asteraceae. The transcript is spliced from 3 exons. The record is from RefSeq and is a predicted model, not a curated record.
CGCCGUUGGUCACCGUCGAAUCAUUAAACCCUAAGGUAUUGAAAUGUGAGUAUGUUGUUCGUGGUGAAAUUGUCUCCUUGGCUCAGAAAUUACAGCAAGACUUGCAAGCCAGGUAAAAAUUUAUGAUGUUUUAAAUUCCUGGAAGACCUACCGAGGCAUAUAGUCACAGCCAGGUAACAUUUUUUAUUAUACCUGCGCAUAUUAUAAAUGGGUAAAACUCAGGUGGCUGAAUUUGGAUUGGCUAGACUAGCACUACGAAUGACACUAACGUCUCAUUUAGUGUCAUGUUGUUGGAGAUUUUCAUAGGAAGGAGGCCGAUUGAUCCAACAACUGAAUACAUGGAUAAUAGUUUGGUAGAUUGGGUUCGUAUCCAACCUAUUUCAACUACUAAAGUCGAAUAUUUCAAAAGAAUGAAACUUCUGAUGGCUCCCAACCUGGAUGAGUAACAUUGAGCUUCUUUUGAUUUAAUCGGUUAUCUGAUUAUCCCGAUCUUGUUAUCU